Long non-coding RNA from Cercocebus atys (sooty mangabey), 1727 nucleotides. The record is from Ensembl. Lineage: Eukaryota; Metazoa; Chordata; Mammalia; Primates; Cercopithecidae.
CUGGCCAACAUGGUGACACCCCAUCUCUACUAAAAAUAUAAAAAUUAGCUGGGUGUGGUGGUACACACCUGUAAUCCUAGCACUUUGGGAGGCCAAGGCGGGUGGAUCAUAAGGUCGGGAGUAACUUCCUAUUUUACAGAUGAGUGAACUGAGCCUUUGAGACUCAGUUCCCCCAAUGAGAAGUGACACUAGCACAUUCCUUGGCAUCCUCAGACCACAUGCCCUAAGAUCUACCCUCGGAGGGGCCCAUGACAGGAAGCCUGCCCGGAAGUGGCGGCCCCGGGCCACGGCCCCGCACCGCCUGGACAAGGAGUUGUGUUUCUGGGGCAGCCGGGGCCCGGUCUUGCCGGCGCCCGCCGCCCGCCGCAGCCUGGGCGACUACUGGCUGAGCCCGCAGCGCCGCCACCCUCCGGGUGCCGCCUGGCGCUGGCCCGCACGCAACCUGUUACUGCUGCCCGGGGCCACCGGCCUGGCCGACGUGCCCUCAGCGCGCUGGCCAAGCUGCUACGGCGCGCGCCCGAGACUCACGUGGAAGCACCGAUGGCAGAAUAUUAACUACUAUUUUCUGGGCAAAAGGAAGAGACAUCUAGUUCCCUUGCACCCGUGAGAGCCGGGACUUGGGGAGACAGGCUUCAGGCUCCAUCGCACGAUGAUCCUGGGGCCGACUUGUGCCAAGGCUGGGCUAAGAGGGAAGACGGCCUGGAUGCGCAGCGUGAUCUUGAGUCCCCUCUCUGUGGAUGACAAUGAGUUACCUUUGCCCUCCUUCCUGAGAUCUCUAUGGUUCUGCCCUUCAUUCUCCAAAUAAAAUCGCCGUGGCCUCACUCUGGCUCUCUCUACUUUGAGGGGAUGAUCUCGGUUUUUCCCAUUGACACACACUGAGUUGGCCAAACCUACAGGGCUGGGAGAGCCUCUGCCAUCACCCCUUGACCUUCCACCGUGCCCACCCCAACCAUGAGCUCCCAGGGAGGAGACUGGAUGAAAGAGGCCUGGUUCCUACUCUCCUGACUCUCGAAGUGCCACGGAAAGAGGAGACAUGCACCAGCUGAGUACAGUGUCACAGGAGGGUGACAUUAGUUUGGGGCACAGUGGGUCAGGAAAGUCUUCUGGAGGGGUCCCUGGAGCUGGAUCUUGACAGGUGGGCGGGCACUGGGGUAGGCAUGCCCGGGGAGCCGCAUUCCAGGCAGAGGGGGCAGCGUGCAGAAAGGUUUGGGGAUUUGUGAGACUGGCAGCCAAGCGGGCUCUCCCUAAAAUGAGGCCAGUUAGGGCAUUGCUUCAAAGACCUUGAAAGCCAGUACAAGGGGUUGUCCAGGCAGAAACAGGGAGCCAUGAACACGUUUAAAGCAGGGGAGGGGCUGGGUGCGGUGGCUCACGCCUGUAAUCCCAGCACUUCGGGAGGCCGGGGUGGGUGGAUCUCUUGAGGUCAGGAGUUCGAGACAGCCUGGCCAACACGGUGAAACCCCGUCUCUACUAAAAAUACAAAAUAGCUGGGCGUGGUGGCAUGCACUUGUAAUUCCAGCUACUCGGGAGGCUGAGGCAGGAGAAUCACUUGAACCCAGGAGGUGGGGGUUGUAAUGAGCCAAGAUCACACCACUGCAUUCCAGCCUGGGUGAUAGAGCGAGACUCUGUCUCAAAAAAGUAAUAAAUAAAUAAAUAAACAAAUAAAUAAAGCAGGGGAGGGACGCGGCCUGGCGAUUGGUCCCCGGCCCUCAGUUAGGUCCGAGGCCUAG